ACGAACGCUGGCGGCGUGCUUAACACAUGCAAGUCGAGCGGUAAGGCUCCUUCGGGAGUACACGAGCGGCGAACGGGUGAGUAACACGUGAGUAAUCUGCCCUUCUCUUCGGAAUAAGCGUUGGAAACGACGUCUAAUGCCGAAUAUGACCUUCUUUCGCAUGAUCGAAGGUGGAAAGCUCCGGCGGAGAUGGAUGAACUCGCGGCCUAUCAGCUUGUUGGUGAGGUAAUGGCUCACCAAGGCAUUGACGGGUAGCCGGCCUGAGAGGGUGACCGGCCACACUGGGACUGAGACACGGCCCAGACUCCUACGGGAGGCAGCAGUGGGGAAUAUUGGACAAUGGGCGAAAGCCUGAUCCAGCAACGCCGCGUGAGGGAUGACGGCCUUCGGGUUGUAAACCUCUUUCAGCGGGGACGAAGCGAAAGUGACGGUACCCGCAGAAGAAGGACCGGCCAACUACGU
RNAcentral lists this ribosomal RNA (462 nucleotides) under uncultured bacterium. Its description in RNAcentral is "bacterial SSU rRNA". It matches the Rfam family "Bacterial small subunit ribosomal RNA", at positions 29 to 506 of the family's 1533-position model. The record is from RNAcentral.